RNAcentral lists this ribosomal RNA (463 nucleotides) under uncultured bacterium. RNAcentral describes it as "SSU rRNA". It matches the Rfam family "Bacterial small subunit ribosomal RNA", at positions 26 to 518 of the family's 1533-position model. The record is from RNAcentral.
AGAACGAACGCUGGCGGCAUGCCUAACACAUGCAAGUCGAACGCUCACCGGGCUUCGGUUCGGUGGGAGUGGCGCACGGGUGAGUAGCGCGUGGGAACCUGCCCUGUUGUGGGGGAUAACCGAGGGAAACUUCGGCUAAUACCGCAUGCGCCCGGGGAAACCCGGGGAAAGAUUUAUCGCAGCAGGAGGGGCCCGCGUCGGAUUAGGUAGUUGGUAGGGUAACGGCCUACCAAGCCUUUGAUCCGUAGCUGGUCUGAGAGGAUGAUCAGCCACACUGGGACUGAGACACGGCCCAGACUCCUACGGGAGGCAGCAGUGGGGAAUAUUGGACAAUGGGCGCAAGCCUGAUCCAGCAAUGCCGCGUGAGUGAUGAAGGCCUUAGGGUUGUAAAGCUCUUUCGCCCGCGACGAUGAUGACGGUAGGCGGGAGAAGAAGCCCCGGCUAACUUCGUGCCAGCAGCCGC